RNAcentral lists this unclassified non-coding RNA (365 nucleotides) under uncultured fungus. Its description in RNAcentral is "sequence contains ITS1". The stretch from base 1 to 104 matches the Rfam family "5.8S ribosomal RNA", at positions 50 to 154 of the family's 154-position model. The record is from RNAcentral. Lineage: Eukaryota; Fungi.
AAACUACGUUAAACGGUGUGAAUUGCAGAACACGCAGAACACUGGAACUUUGAACGCACAUGGCAGGUUAGUGUUAUAACUAACCUUUGUCUGUGUGAGGGUUGUAAUCAGAGAAUCAAGGCUAGUUUUUGAAAAGCGGGGAGGUUGCCUAUUAAAUGUGUGACAUGCCCGCUGUUCGCUAUAAAACACACUUGUGUUGCGCCUCUGGCCAGCGUCGGAGGAUAACGGCAACUGAACGGGUGUUAGGGAGAAAGGAGUUUGCUGAAGUUGAUGCGCUGUUAAUGGCGUCUUCAGAAGCAGUAGCUCCCUAUCCUGUCUUUCUUUCUCACAACCUCACAUCAGGCAAGAUUACCCGCUUAAUUUAA